UAACUGAAGAGUUUGAUCAUGGCUCAGAUUGAACGCUGGCGGCAGGCUUAACACAUGCAAGUCGAGCGGGGUGAUGUAGCUUGCUACAUUACCUAGCGGCGGACGGGUGAGUAAUGCUUAGGAAUCUGCCUAUUAGUGGGGGACAACAUUCCGAAAGGAAUGCUAAUACCGCAUACGCCCUACGGGGGAAAGCAGGGGAUCUUCGGACCUUGCGCUA
This 217-nucleotide ribosomal RNA is filed under the name Acinetobacter johnsonii. Its description in RNAcentral is "partial 16S ribosomal RNA". It matches the Rfam family "Bacterial small subunit ribosomal RNA", at positions 1 to 220 of the family's 1533-position model. The record is from RNAcentral. Lineage: Bacteria; Pseudomonadati; Pseudomonadota; Gammaproteobacteria; Moraxellales; Moraxellaceae.